UUCUUCGGAUGAUUGAUCGGUGACUGAGUGGCGGACGGGUGAGUAACGCGUGGGUAACCUGCCCUGUACAGGGGGAUAACAGCUGGAAACGGCUGCUAAUACCGCAUAAGCGCACGAGGAGACAUCUCCUAGUGUGAAAAACUCCGGUGGUACAGGAUGGACCCGCGUCUGAUUAGCUGGUUGGUGAGGUAACGGCUCACCAAGGCGACGAUCAGUAGCCGGUCUGAGAGGAUGAACGGCCACAUUGGAACUGAGACACGGUCCAAACUCC
This 271-nucleotide ribosomal RNA is filed under the name uncultured Eubacteriales bacterium. RNAcentral's name for it is "uncultured Clostridiales bacterium partial 16S ribosomal RNA". It matches the Rfam family "Bacterial small subunit ribosomal RNA", at positions 71 to 339 of the family's 1533-position model. The record is from RNAcentral. Lineage: Bacteria; Bacillati; Bacillota; Clostridia; Eubacteriales.